This 918-nucleotide ribosomal RNA is filed under the name Listeria monocytogenes. Its description in RNAcentral is "partial 23S ribosomal RNA". It matches the Rfam family "Bacterial large subunit ribosomal RNA", at positions 1 to 912 of the family's 2925-position model. Lineage: Bacteria; Bacillati; Bacillota; Bacilli; Caryophanales; Listeriaceae. The record is from RNAcentral.
UUGGUUAAGUUAGAAAGGGCGCACGGUGGAUGCCUUGGCACUAGGAGCCGAAGAAGGACGGGACUAACACCGAUAUGCUUUGGGGAGCUGUACGUAAGCGUUGAUCCAGAGAUUUCCGAAUGGGGGAACCCACUAUCUUUAGUCGGAUAGUAUCCUUACGUGAAUACAUAGCGUGAGGAAGGCAGACCCAGGGAACUGAAACAUCUAAGUACCUGGAGGAAGAGAAAGAAAAAUCGAUUUCCUGAGUAGCGGCGAGCGAAACGGAAAGAGCCCAAACCAAGAAGCUUGCUUCUUGGGGUUGUAGGACACUCUAUACGGAGUUACAAAAGAAAGUUAUAAAUGAAGCGGUCUGGAAAGGCCCGCCAAAGACGGUAACAGCCCGGUAGUUGAAAUGGCUUUCCCUCCAGAGUGGAUCCUGAGUACGGCGGAACACGUGAAAUUCCGUCGGAAUCCGGGAGGACCAUCUCCCAAGGCUAAAUACUCCCUAGUGACCGAUAGUGAACCAGUACCGUGAGGGAAAGGUGAAAAGCACCCCGGAAGGGGAGUGAAACAGUUCCUGAAACCGUGUGCCUACAAGUAGUUAGAGCCCGUUAAUGGGUGAUAGCGUGCCUUUUGUAGAAUGAACCGGCGAGUUACGAUUUGUUGCAAGGUUAAGCGGAAAAAGCGGAGCCGUAGCGAAAGCGAGUCUGAAUAGGGCGCAUAAGUAACAGGUCGUAGACCCGAAACCAGGUGAUCUACCCAUGUCCAGGAUGAAGGUAAGGUAAUACUUACUGGAGGUCCGAACCCACGCACGUUGAAAAGUGCGGGGAUGAGGUGUGGGUAGCGGAGAAAUUCCAAUCGAACUUGGAGAUAGCUGGUUCUCUCCGAAAUAGCUUUAGGGCUAGCCUCGAGGUAAAGAGUCAUGGAGGUAGAGCACUG